UGAGGAAUAUUGGUCAAUGGGCGGGAGCCUGAACCAGCCAAGCCGCGUGAGGGAGGAAGGCCCUAUGGGUCGUAAACCUCUUUUGUCAGGGAACAAAAGCGAGUAUGUAUACUAGUCUGAGUGUACCUGAAGAAAAAGCAUCGGCUAACUCCGUGCCAGCAGCCGCAGUAAUACGGAGGAUGCGAGCGUUAUCCGGAUUUAUUGGGUUUAAAGGGUGCGUAGGCGGCGGUGCAAGUCAGCGGUAAAAGCCCGGGGCUCAACCCCGGCGAGCCGUCGAAACUGCAGUGCUAGAGAAGGCGAGAGGUACGCGGAAUGCGCAGUGUAGCGGUGAAAUGCUUAGAUAUUGCGCAGAACUCCGAUUGCGAAGGCAGCGUACUGGCGCCUGACUGACGCUGAGGCACGAAAGCGUGGGGAUCGAACAGGAUUAGAUACCC
This 434-nucleotide ribosomal RNA is filed under the name uncultured bacterium. RNAcentral's name for it is "bacterial SSU rRNA". It matches the Rfam family "Bacterial small subunit ribosomal RNA", at positions 355 to 787 of the family's 1533-position model. The record is from RNAcentral.